This 465-nucleotide ribosomal RNA is filed under the name uncultured Klebsiella sp. RNAcentral's name for it is "bacterial SSU rRNA". It matches the Rfam family "Bacterial small subunit ribosomal RNA", at positions 338 to 795 of the family's 1533-position model. Lineage: Bacteria; Pseudomonadati; Pseudomonadota; Gammaproteobacteria; Enterobacterales; Enterobacteriaceae. The record is from RNAcentral.
CCUACGGGAGGCUGCAGUGGGGAAUAUUGCACAAUGGGCGCAAGCCUGAUGCAGCCAUGCCGCGUGUGUGAAGAAGGCCUUCGGGUUGUAAAGCACUUUCAGCGGGGAGGAAGGCGUUAAGGUUAAUAACCUUGGCGAUUGACGUUACCCGCAGAAGAAGCACCGGCUAACUCCGUGCCAGCAGCCGCGGUAAUACGGAGGGUGCAAGCGUUAAUCGGAAUUACUGGGCGUAAAGCGCACGCAGGCGGUCUGUCAAGUCGGAUGUGAAAUCCCCGGGCUCAACCUGGGAACUGCAUUCGAAACUGGCAGGCUAGAGUCUUGUAGAGGGGGGUAGAAUUCCAGGUGUAGCGGUGAAAUGCGUAGAGAUCUGGAGGAAUACCGGCGGCGAAGGCGGCCCCCUGGACAAAGACUGACGCUCAGGUGCGAAAGCGUGGGGAGCAAACAGGAUUAGAUACCCCUGUAGUC